AGUGAGGCUUGUAGGAGCUCGCGCGGAGGAGAGCGGCUCCCUGGCGCGGCGCGGCGCAGCAGCGUGUAGUGUUUGCGGAGAAGUAGCUGCGGUUUCUCCUCAGCGCUGUUUUCUAUCCUCCGUGACUAGUUUUUACGGGAACAAGAAGUCAGUUUGGCUUGUGCAAGAAGUUAGACGGGGCUGAGGAAGGACAGGUAACGUAGCCGGGCGUGCCUCUUUGGCGCUAAGGUACCUGACCGGGGCAGCCGGACAGGUUUUCUUCGGAUCCGCACAAGGAAAGCGAGGAAGCCGCCUUGGGGAGCUGAUUUUGGAUGUCGUUGAAAGGCAGCACAUUGUUGGCUAUUUAAUUAAUCAUUUGCAUUUUCCUUGUUAAGCAAGAGGGAGAAGAGCUUGCGGGAUGUUUUUGUUUCUGGAUGCUAUUUUAUUAAAAUACAAGUUUGGGUUCUUUACCCCCACUCCCCCAAAUGCUUGUGUUGGAUGUUUGACUUAAGUAGGAAUGUAGUUAUUUUUAAAAGGUGGGUUUAAAGCAUACUUGUUAGGCUGCAACAGGAGACAGGCGUACUUCAUGACAAUAUUCAUAACUCUGAGUUGGUAGUCACACCCCUUCUAAGACUACAGAACAAAAAUGUAUUUUUUACUUAUGUGGACAUUAUGGCUUCAAUACCAAACUAGCUUUUUUUGCUUACUCAAAAGUCUGCUCACUAUUUUGUAAUACUUUAUCUUAUAUGGUGAAUUUAUCUAUGAGAAAAGCUCACUUAUUUAUUUGGUAUAUAGACUGUGAUAAAUAAUGCUGCAGUAGAUAUCAUCCUUGCUGUGAAAUAAGUGGUGGAUCCCUUCCUGGCUCUGCCACUCCACUGUUGAGUGAAAUGCUUUCUCUGUGACCACAAAACAAAGUUCUCCUUUUACUCUCCCACUUAAGUUUAGCAUGCCUGAAGUUUAAUGGAAGAGUAUGUGUUUUAUGUGCAGGAGUUCCUGGAAUCUGCAGCUUCAGUUAAGAGCCUGUGAAAGCUGCUGCCAGUGGGAGUGGUUGGGUAAUGCUUGGCUAGAUGAACCAAUGCAGCUUUUAUGGGUGCUACUCCUGAAUCUGAUAUCCCAAGAGCGUGAAAGCAAAAUGAGAAAUUGUGAUAUUUAUAUAAAACUGUUGUGAAGUGAAAGGGUACACAAAAGACAUGGUUCAGAUGUGCCUUUCUGCCCAGGAUAUGUUCAAACUGCAGUUGCAUAUUAAUAACUUUAAGCAAAUGGACACAGCAAUUAUAUAUGUAGUGCAACUGUUUCUGUGUAUGACACUUUUGCUGUAAGAAAAAGAGCUUAAAUGAAAUGUCUUGCAGACAUGCAGCCUGGUCUUCAAGCUAAGAUCUCCCUUUGUUAUCUUUGCAUAUGAGAAGGUGACUUGCAGCUACAUCUACAGUCAUACCUCCGGUUACAGACGCUUCAGGUUGCGUUUUUUCGGGUUACAGACACACCGAAACCCGGAAGUACCAGAAUGGGUUACUUCUGGGUUUUGGCGAUCACGCAUGCACAGAAGCGCUAAAUCGUGCUUUGCACAUGUGCAGAAGCACCGAAUCGCAACCCGCACAUGUGCAGAUGCAGCACUGCAGAUUUCGAAUGCUGCGGGUUGCGAACGUGCCUCCCGCACAGAUCACUUUCGCAACCCAAGCGUCCACUGUACAUUGUAUCCUGCUGUACUGUCUUUAUUGAAAAUUCUAUCUUGACUACUGUUUAGGCUAGUCUCUCCUACUUACAAGAGUGAGUCCCAUUGAGCUUGGUGACUUCUGAGUAAACAUGCAGUGGAUUGUGCUGCUAUGCCUGGAUAAAGCAAUCCAAACAGUUGCUCCUGGACCUGCUAAGGAGGAGUGCCUCUAGACACCUACCCAAUAAUCAGAGGGAUGGAAGCCUAGGUGGCAUCCCAAAUUCCCAAAACAGAGCAUGGUGGGGAGCUGCGCCAGCACUGCUGCCCAUCAUGUGACAACAACAGGCCUGAUCCAGACCUUUUUGGUGUAGCAGCCUAGGAGCUAGCAUAACAAAGAGGCAGUUUUCCUGUCCCCUCACUUUGUCAUGUUGGCACAACCAGACGGGUUGUGGCAAUGGCUGUGCCACACUCCAUUAAGCCCUGUCAUUGCUGGCCCCUAAAUGAAGAACCUAAAAAGAAUCUGCAGGAUCAGGCCAGUGACCCAUUUAAUUCCAACAAUCUCUUCUCAAAGUAGCCAACCAGAUGGGAAGUACAUGAGCAGAGCUCAACAGCACUCUCUCCACUUUGGACGCCCAGCAAGUGGUAUUCUAGUUCUAGUGUUAUGAGGGAGAAAAACAUUUCUCUACCCACUUCUCCCACAUCACUUUAUACACUUCUGUCCUACUCUUUCUCUUAUUUACUCAAAAACCUUUCCUCAUAGGGGAGUUGCUUCAUUUCUUUAAUCAUUUUGAUUAUAAUUUUUGGAUUUUUUUCUCCCCAGCUGCACAAUAUCAUUUUUGAGAUGAGGCAACCAGAAUCGUACACAUUAUUCCAAGUGCAGGCACACAAUAGAUUUGCAUAAUGGCAUUAUGAUAUUGGCUGUUGUAUUUUCAAUUCCUUUCCUAAUGGACCCUUGCAUAGAAUCUGCCUUGUUCUCUAUUGCUGCACCCUUGGGUCAACAUCUUCACUAUGACCGCAGGGUCUUUUUCCUGGUCAGUCACCACCAGUUUAGAUCCCAUGAGAAUAUAUGUGAAAUUACGUGGAGUUUGUGCAUAGACAUCACUUUAUACUCUCUUACGUUGAAUUGUGUUUGCCAUUCUACCAACCACUCACUCUUUUUGGAGAAUAAAGGUAAAGUUUUUUUCCAAUCAUACUGACUCACAAGUGGAAAAUUUCUUUUGCAAAUCUUGGCAAAGUCUGAACCUGAAACUCUUUAAAAACAGUGUAAGUUGUUACUUGGAAUUGGUUUUCAACAGUAGAAGAUAGGAUGGUUUAAUAAAAAUUGAAGUUACGCUAAGAGCCUGUUGCUGCCUCCAACCAAUUCCCAAAGUGUGUAGUAAAGAUCACUAUAAAGUAUGAAAUAAGAUAUUUGUAGUACUGUAAUCUGAUUUAGAGCUAGACUAACUGAUUUUGUAGUAUGCAGCCUUUAGGUCAAUGCUAAGAGACUGCAUUUUAUGUAUUAACUUGGUUAGUUUAACCAGCAGUAAAGAUAAGUGGGUGGGUGCAUGCAGGCUAAGCUCAAUUUAAGAGGUUGUAAGAUCAAACCUAGGAUGUUGCUUAAAAAGGACAUUUUUCAUUUUUCAGUAGAAUGAUUUGAGCCAGUGCAAGGUUGAUAUCUAUUGGUAGUGCAGUGGAUGAGGAAUGCAGCAGUCAUUAACAGACUUCCAUCAUAAAUGGGAGGGAUCCUGCUUUGCAUGUAGACGAUCCCAAGUUCAAUCCCUAGCACAUCCCAUGAAAAGGAUCAGGUAGCAGGUAAUGGAAUAUGCAGCUGACCUGAACUCUGGAGUGCUGCUGUCAGUCAGAGUAGACUGGCUAUUAAGUCAGGACCUGCUAAGGGGUUGCAGCCUGACUAAGCUGGGUGACAACAGUAGUACUGCCACAAUACAAAUGUAUGGAAGGGGGAAGACUUGACUUCAUCAGCUGCUCAGCCUCACUCCCUUGCCUUAGUGGAAACUACUACCUGGGAACAGCCAUCAAAGGAAGACUUGUGUUUGGCAACAGCAGAGAAGACCAAGAAAGGCUGCCUUAAUAAGCCUGGUGACAUGUUAUUUCUGAUUAUAUGUGCAAAUCUUUUUUGAAUGUGAACCUCUUGUAAAUUGUUUUGAGAGCCUCUUGGACCUAUAAAAAACCAGGAUGGUUGAAGACUUCUGGAGAUAGACAACUAGUUUUGCCUGACAGAAUGCAGCUUCCUACGUUCGUGUGAUCAGUGGUGACAACAGAUCAUACGAUAGACUCAAUCAGCCAAGAAUUUCAGGUUUGCUUCGUUCAUAUCUACAUCGUAUCUUGACACCCACCCAUUCCCAGAUAGACAUUCGCACUAGUCCAGAGAACUCUGAUUGCAACAGAUAAUUGCCAUACCCAAGGAGCUCUACUCCCCAAAAUGUAAUUUGAAGAAUUUGAGAACAGCACCAGUUAUCUUAAGAGGUGUGGUAGAGAGGAUGCACCUAGACCAAAUCUGGGCGUCUUAUUCACACAUGCCCUAACAGGUGUGCACAAAAUGGGUGGCUUGUGAAGUGGUGAGUGACUUUUGCUCUAGGUAGAAAGCACAUGGAGUGACACAAUUGUGGUUUAAAUAUGUCAGACCUACUGCUGUAGUGCAGUAGUGCCAAGGCAGGUACACAAAGACCUGGUCAUACAGUUGCUCCUAAAUCAGCUGAACUGACCUUGCCUUCCCCACCUUGCAAUAUUUUGGAAUUAUACAUUUUUGCCCCCCACUCCUUCUCUCCUAUCUUUCCUUGUGGAGACCAUUUGUUUUAUGUUUUCAAUAUUAAGGUUUUAUAAUGGAAUUACUGCACUUAAGGCAUUAGGCAAAAGGUAAGAUAUAAAUCUU
Non-coding RNA from Podarcis lilfordi (Lilford's wall lizard), 4499 nucleotides. Lineage: Eukaryota; Metazoa; Chordata; Lepidosauria; Squamata; Lacertidae. The record is from the annotation of a GenBank genome assembly.